UCCACCUGCUCCCAGCGCACACAGGCGGUACCCCUGCUGCCCUCCUGUAGCAGUGACAGGACCAGGUAUUUUCUGCAGCCUGAACCGCGACAUGGACAUGCGUGCUUUAGCAGCUGCUCGUGGCCCUGUGGAGACCGUGGUCGUACCCGGGUGUGUCUGGAGAGCAACGUCCUGUUAAGUGACCCGUUAAGGGCUAAGCCUCCUCGCACACAGCAAGGCGCCGUAACCUGAGCUCCCUGCUCCCCCCACCAACUGCCGCGCCGCGCCGCCCGUCCCCUUCACCGCGCCCUCUGGGCUCUGCCGUUAAUCGCACGGAGAGGGGGUGCCGCCGACACUCUUCGCUCCACCCACACGCGUGAGAGCGGCCGGGCUGGAGGGGGUUGCCUCGCUUUCCUUCAGCUUCUUAGAACUUUCUAGGCGCGAUUGUGGCCACAACUUGGACCUUCUAAGAACAGUGCUGCGUCGUGACGCUCUGCUACCAGGCUGAUCCGCUCGGGGUUUGUCCGGAAAUGGCGGACGCAGGAAAUGCAGACCACCAACCUGUUCUUUCAGAGCUGCUUGUUCUAGGCAAUCAUUACUCACUGGGGAUGCCUACUGUGUUUUCUGAAAAACACAUAUGACAGUAAUGAAUGUUCCAAAAUGAUCUUAAUUUCUACAGAGAGGAAAAGAUAAUGUGCCACUGGACAAGCAUCAGCUAAGGAGAAAUGAGGGUCCAACGAUGAAGGAUUUCUAUGACUUCUUGGAACAAACAGCUAAAGUUUCUCCAUAUCUGUCAACAAUUUAGUCGUUGAUAAUGGACUCGUUUCAUUGCACAGUGAAAAGCAAGCCCUGUAAACUGUUCCAAAACUGAAUCUCAGUCUGUGGUAUAUACAUUUACAUGGGCCUUGGUUUUGUAAUGUUCUUCAGUUAUACAAUGAGCACUGACUGAUAUAAGAAUUGCUUCAAAACAACGUUUUCCUUGUGCAAGCGGCAACUCCUCUGGCUAUAAAUAAACACUCAAACAAGGCAGCUUUAAAUAGCUUAAAAAUAACACUCUUCCAUUUCUUCCAAGCAGUAAAGUUAUGUAAAAGCAUUGCAACUGAAGAAAGGUAGGAGCCUGUAAUAGGAGCCUGAAGGGUAGGCAGAUGCUAUGGUGAUGUAAGGGCUGUGUAAGACUAUAAAUCAAACUUUAUACAGACUGUUUUAAAGCUGGGGGAGACACGUUCCCUAACCUUGGGGGAUUUGAAUCCUAUUGAAAAUGACAAGAUGCUGAACCAGUGGGAG
Molecule: long non-coding RNA, 1263 nt
Filed under: Gallus gallus (chicken)
Lineage: Eukaryota; Metazoa; Chordata; Aves; Galliformes; Phasianidae
Description: lncRNA (ENSGALG00010004176.1)
Source: RNAcentral